RNAcentral lists this ribosomal RNA (253 nucleotides) under uncultured bacterium. Its description in RNAcentral is "partial 16S ribosomal RNA". It matches the Rfam family "Bacterial small subunit ribosomal RNA", at positions 524 to 776 of the family's 1533-position model. The record is from RNAcentral.
UACGUAGGGUGCAAGCGUUGUCCGGAAUUAUUGGGCGUAAAGAGCUCGUAGGCGGUUUGUCGCGUCGGCUGUGAAAACUCGGGGCUCAACCCCGAGCCUGCAGUCGAUACGGGCAAACUAGAGUGCUGUAGGGGAGACUGGAAUUCCUGGUGUAGCGGUGAAAUGCGCAGAUAUCAGGAGGAACACCGGUGGCGAAGGCGGGUCUCUGGGCAGUAACUGACGCUGAGAAGCGAAAGCAUGGGGAGCGAACAGG